Molecule: ribosomal RNA, 460 nt
Filed under: uncultured bacterium
Lineage: Bacteria
Description: partial 16S ribosomal RNA
Rfam family: Bacterial small subunit ribosomal RNA
Source: RNAcentral
CCUACGGGUGGCAGCAGUGAGGAAUAUUGGUCAAUGGACGAGAGUCUGAACCAGCCAAGUAGCGUGAAGGAUGACUGCCCUAUGGGUUGUAAACUUCUUUUAUAAAGGAAUAAAACGAGGCACGUGUGCCUUUUUGCAUGUACUUUAUGAAUAAGGAUCGGCUAACUCCGUGCCAGCAGCCGCGGUAAUACGGAGGAUCCGAGCGUUAUCCGGAUUUAUUGGGUUUAAAGGGAGCGUAGAUGGGUUGUUAAGUCAGUUGUGAAAGUUUGCGGCUCAACCGUAAAAUUGCAAUUGAUACUGGCAGUCGUGAGUACAGUUGAGGUAAGCGGAAUUCGUGGUGUAGCGGUGAAAUGCUUAGAUAGCACGAAGAACCCCGAUUGCGAAGGCAGCUUACUAAACUGUGACUGACAUUGAUGCUCGAAAGUGUGGGUAUCAAACAGGAUUAGAUACCCCAGUAGUC